CAAUAGCGUAUAUUAAAGUUGUUGCAGUUAAAAAGCUCGUAGUUGGAUUUCUGGUUGAAGCGACCGGUCGGGCGUUGAUUCGUCUGCACUGGAGUCGGUUUUGGCCAUCCUCUAGGAAAGUGCGUCUGGUAUUAAGUUAUCGGGCGUAUGAUCCUGGUCUUUUACUGUGAAAAAAUUAGAGUGUUUAAAGCAGGCCUUCGCCUUGAAUACAUUAGCAUGGAAUAAUAAGAUAGGACUUUGGUCUAUUUUGUUGGUUUGCAGACCGAAGUAAUGAUUAAUAGGGAUAGUUGGGGGUAUUUAUAUUCCGAUGUCAGAGGUGAAAUUCUUAGAUUUUCGGAAGACAAACUUAUGCGAAAGCAUUUACCAAGGAUGUUUUCAUUAA
Molecule: ribosomal RNA, 382 nt
Filed under: uncultured eukaryote
Lineage: Eukaryota
Description: partial 18S ribosomal RNA
Rfam family: Eukaryotic small subunit ribosomal RNA
Source: RNAcentral